CAGGACGAACGCUGCGGCGUGCUUAACACAUGCAAGUCGAACGGUAAGGCCCCUUCGGGGGUACACGAGUGGCGAACGGGUGAGUAACACGUGGGUAAUCUGCCCUGCACUUCGGGAUAAGCCUGGGAAACUGGGUCUAAUACCGGAUAUGAACUCCUGCCGCAUGGUGGGGGUUGGAAAGUUUUUCGGUGCAGGAUGAGCCCGCGGCCUAUCAGCUUGUUGGUGGGGUAAUGGCCUACCAAGGCGACGACGGGUAGCCGGCCUGAGAGGGUGAUCGGCCACACUGGGACUGAGACACGGCCCAGUACUCCUACGGGAGGCAGCAGUGGGGAAUAUUGCACAAUGGGCUGAAAGCACUGAUGCAGCGACGCCGCGUGGGGGAUGACGGUCUUCGGAUUGUAAACCCCUUUCAGUAGGGACGAAGCGCAAGUGACGGUACCUGCAGAAGAAGCACCGGCUAACUACGUGCCAGCAGCCGCGGUAAUACGUAGGGUGCGAG
RNAcentral lists this ribosomal RNA (499 nucleotides) under Dietzia kunjamensis. Its description in RNAcentral is "bacterial SSU rRNA". It matches the Rfam family "Bacterial small subunit ribosomal RNA", at positions 25 to 538 of the family's 1533-position model. Lineage: Bacteria; Bacillati; Actinomycetota; Actinomycetes; Mycobacteriales; Dietziaceae. The record is from RNAcentral. RNAcentral also lists the same sequence under 1 other name.